UCCCCUGUAGCUCAAUGGUAGAGCGAGAUCCUGUUAAGAUCGAGGUUCGUGGUUCGAAUCCACGCGGGGGAG
This is a non-coding RNA of Candidatus Daviesbacteria bacterium, 72 nucleotides long. NCBI's taxonomy places the organism in Bacteria, Candidatus Daviesiibacteriota. The record is from Rfam.